This 913-nucleotide ribosomal RNA is filed under the name uncultured crenarchaeote. RNAcentral describes it as "bacterial SSU rRNA". It matches the Rfam family "Archaeal small subunit ribosomal RNA", at positions 1 to 922 of the family's 1478-position model. Lineage: Archaea; Thermoproteati; Thermoproteota. The record is from RNAcentral.
UUCCGGUUGAUCCUGCCGGACCUGACUGCUAUCGGAUUGAUAUUAAGCCAUGCUGAGUCAUUGUAGCAAUACAAGGCAUACGGCUCAGUAACACGUAGUUAAUCUAACCUAUGGACGGGGAUAAUCUCGGGAAACUGAGGGUAAUACCCGAUAGAUCAUUAUGCUUGGAAUAGUUUAUGAUCCAAAUGAUUUCGCCAUAGGAUGAGACUGCGGCCUAUCAGCUAGUUGGUGUGGUAAUGGCUCACCAAGGCUAUAACAGGUACGGGCUCUGAGAGGAGGAGCCCGGAGAUGGGUACUGAGACACUGACCCAGGCCCUAUGGGGCGCAGCAGGCGAGAAAACUUUGCAAUGUGCGAAAGCACGACAAGGUUAGUCCGAGUGAUUCCUGUUGAAGGAAUCUUUUGUUAGUUUUAAAAUCACUAAAGAAUAAGGGGUGGGCAAGUUCUGGUGUCAGCCGCCGCGGUAAAACCAGCACCUCAAGUGGUCAGGAUGAUUAUUGGGCCUAAAGCAUCCGUAGCCGGCUAGAUAAGUUUUCGGUUAAAUCUAUACGCUUAACGUAUAGGCUGCUGAAAAUACUAUGUAGCUAGGGAGUGGAAGAGGUAGACGGUACUUGAUAGGAAGGGGUAAAAUCCUUUGAUCUAUUGAUGACCACCAGUGGCGAAGGCGGUCUACCAGAACACGUUCAACGGUGAGGGAUGAAAGCUGGGGGAGCAAACCGGAUUAGAUACCCGGGUAGUCCCAGCUGUAAACAAUGCAAACUCAGUGAUGCAUUGGCUUAUUGCUAAUGCAGUGCUGCAGGGAAGCCGUUAAGUUUGCCGCCUGGGAAGUACGUACGCAAGUAUGAAACUUAAAGGAAUUGGCGGGGGAGCACCACAAGGGGUGAAGCCUGCGGUUCAAUUGGAGUCAACGCCGGA